Rattus rattus (black rat) is the source of this 645-nucleotide long non-coding RNA. RefSeq lists it as uncharacterized. The record is from RefSeq and is a predicted model, not a curated record. The transcript is spliced from 2 exons. NCBI's taxonomy places the organism in Eukaryota, Metazoa, Chordata, Mammalia, Rodentia, Muridae.
GCGUGCGCCAGAGAAGUGGUGGGCCUCCACGCCUCACCAGGUGAGGUGAGCCGCCAACUUGGCGUAUCCUGACCUGCCCGAGGCUCCAGCCUCGAACCCGCCAUGCACGUGGACAGCCAAGCCGUGUGCUGCUGCCUCACGUGGAGUCUUCCUCUAGAAUGAUCUUUUAACAUAAAAAUAUCAUUAUUGUGUAUGUAUGAUCUAUGUGCAUGCACCUGCCACAGCGUGUGAAUAGAAGUCAGAAGACAACUUUGUGUGGUCAGAUCCCUACUUCCGCCUAUUCUAAAGGAUCCAGUGAUGGAACUCUGGGGUGCAGGAUUCCAGGCACCGUACAAAGAUGUUUGCAAGAAAAGCAGAGGUAAAAACAGCUGCUCCAAAAGUCAGACACCUGUGUGGGUUAAGUCACCCCAGCAUCCAGGAGCUUUUAUUCAUUCUUACAUCGCUGUAAGUAGAUAUAAAUAAAUAAAUAAAUAAAUAAAUAAAUAAAUAAAUAAAUAAGGGAAGCCGUGUGUCUGGUUGGCUUUGGUGCUCCCUGGGUGAAGGGGAAGAAUUUGCAGACUGUUCUGGUGACCUGGACGCAGAGCAGUGGUGAUAAACAGCAUGCUGCUAACUAUUAGUGGUAACAAUAUUCCUGGCCAAAAAAAA